This 504-nucleotide ribosomal RNA is filed under the name Triticum aestivum (bread wheat). RNAcentral's name for it is "partial small subunit ribosomal RNA". The record is from RNAcentral. Lineage: Eukaryota; Viridiplantae; Streptophyta; Magnoliopsida; Poales; Poaceae.
AUGAAGCCAUCUACGGCUCGUCUUCUCGCGGCUGCAGCGCUCACCGCCGUCCUCGCGCUGGCGAGCGGGGUCGCCGACGCAACGGUGGUGACGACGUGCAAGGCGGCGGCCGGCAGCGACGGGCGCGUGGACUACGACUUCUGCGUGUCGGAGCUGGGCAAGCACCACGACAGCCCCAGCGCGGACACCUGGGGCCUGGCCAAGGUGGCAGCUCUCACCGGCGUCGUCGACGCCGACAACGCGGUCUCCGACAUCAAGGACCUGCUGGCAAGCACGGCACGGACGCCAGGGCGCAGGGGGCGCUGGCGCAGUGCCAGGAGCUGUACGACAGCAUGGGGUUCGCCUUCGCCGAAGCACAGGACGACAUCAACAACCGCGACUACGCCGCCGGGAAGGAGAAGGCCGGGGAAGCCGCGUCCUUGGCGCACCAGUGCGAAGACGCCUUCGCUCAGGCCGGUGUCCCGUCGCCGGUCGCGCAGCACAGCUCCUACGCGGUGCAGAUAG